This is a non-coding RNA of Durio zibethinus, 1983 nucleotides long. The record is from RefSeq and is a predicted model, not a curated record. NCBI's taxonomy places the organism in Eukaryota, Viridiplantae, Streptophyta, Magnoliopsida, Malvales, Malvaceae.
UUUUUGGGAUUCUAUUUUCUUUGGUUUGUCCAUUAUGUUAUAUUCCGAAUUUAACCCGUUGGUCCUGGUUGGUUUUAUUGAAGGUCGAGGACUUUUUUGUCCAUUUACAAAUUUCAGAACGCUAUAUAUAUUUGGAGGCGAGAAUUUAUCAGAUCCAUAAUUCUGUUUGGUUGGACGGAGAGGGGACCGAGAAAAGAGCGAAGAUGAUAAAAGCUGUGAUGUUCAUGAACAUUAAAGGCAAGCCUUAUCUUGCAAAAAUUUACGAAUAUCUGCCAGUGGAGAAGCAGAGGGAGCUUAUACGCAACAUUUUUGGAUGUCCCGAUCCUUUACCAGCUUCUUCUUCUUCUUCGAUUAAUUUGAAUUUUAUUCUGUUUGGUUCGCAUGAACCUUGUAUUCAUUUUUUGUAAUCUCGUUCAUUAUUUGACCUAGUCGAUCAUUCUUGAGUUCUUACUUGAGAGUUUUUUUUAUUUAUCUAUUUUUUUUUGCUUUCAAUUUUUAUUUUGAUCUUUUAACAAUCUUGUGCAGUAGAGCUGAGAACACAAGCAAUUUCAUAGAGGUGAAGCCAAUUUUUUUCCGGAGAGUCGCCUUGUCUACAAGCAUUUUACAACUCUUUACUUUGUCUUGAUAUUUGAUAGUUCUGAAAAUUAACUAGCUGGGCUUGACUUGAUACGAGUUUUUGUGCAAACAUUGGACAAAUGCUUCAGGAAUGUUUGUGAGCUUGAUAUUGUGUUCAAUUACAGCAAGUUUGUAUCCUCUCUUCACUCUAUAUAUGUGUAUAUUUAGUGCCGGGGAAUGUAAGAUUCUACAAAUAAAUAUGAUAUAGCAUCUUUACUUUGAUUCCAUAAAGUGCAUUUUUGUUUAAUUUUUUAUUCUUUUGAAUGCAAAACUAAGCUAAUCUUAUAGGAGAUGAUGUUGUUGGGAAACGUAUAUGUUGUAUGCUUAAAGUUCCAAACAUUGGUGCUCGGGGUUUUGCUUGCAAUUGAGCUUGUCUAGAGUUACUUUGGAAGUUAGCUUUGCCUAAGUUCCCUAGUAUUUUGACAUGACAGCUCAUGCUGUUGAUGCCGUAGUCAAUCCUUAGUUGCUGGCCUGGCAAAGCAGAGCAUUAGUGCCUUUAUGCCCUGCUUGCCAAGGACUGUCUUUGGAAUAUGCUCGAUAACACUUCUUAUGACAUCAUUAUAAUGUCCAAGAUACACACUAUGCUGAUGAGAUAAUUUUUGGAGGUUAAGUGCUGGAAACAAGUUCAAUGGAAAUUAUGAAGGCCGUAGGUUAGAAGCUGCCUCAAACGCUACAACACUCAAUCCGAAGUCUGCUUCUGGUCGGCGAAGUAGUUGGUUCUGCAUUCAAAUACUGUUAAAAUCAAUCCUCGAAUUAUUUCUUCUCACUGUGAGUUAGUAACUUGUGAUUUUAACUAACUUGGGCAGGUGGUCAAGGGACUGGUGAAAGCUUAAACACUCAAGAGUGAAAAGAUCUUUUUUCUUAUUGGUAUACAUAAUCAAAAAAUUUAGAGGUAUUAUACUUAAACUAGUAUUUAUCUGCUUCAUAGUAGGAAAUUAAUACAUGUAAGUAUUUGUAGUAACAUGGUGUUUUACCAGCACAUGCUCACAACUGAGUAUAGAUCCUGAUUUUUGCAAUUCUUAUUUGCUUUUAGACCUCAAGUUAGGGUUAUAACUUUUAGAGCAGAGAUUUCUGGUGUUGUUUUCUCUGUUCUUUUAUUUUAAUUUUUUUGGCCUUUUGCUUUUAAAGUGAAGCACGCAUCAGCUAGAUUUUACCAUCAUUUUCAUAGGGCUUUGAAGUUUUCUUGAAUGGUUCAGUUCUUUUUCUCAACCAAUUCGUUCUCUGCUACGCUGAAUGACUAUGCCAAGUGUUGUUUGGCAACUGUUAUUCUCUCGGUUUUAUGAUUCGUUUUUUAUUUUCUUUGUGGCGAUAAACAUUAAUAUUUCUUCAAAAAAAGAAAAUAAAAAACAAGUUUCUGGAAACAAUAUU